CCAAAAUCGGAACCCCCCCAAAAUAGAGACCCUAAAGGGGGAUCCUAAAUGGAACCCCAUAGCGGGACCCUAACAGGGAAUGUGUGGAAGCAGAGCAGCGGCCAGGAGCUGAGGGUGAAAUUAACGCCUUUAUUAAUUAGUGCUUAAUGAAGGCAGCAGCGGGCGGCGGCGCAACGCAGCGCAGCGGGACGGCGGCUCCUUAAUGGCGUUCAGCCAAAGGAGAGGAUUCACUGCAGUGGGGCACAGCUAUGGGGCAGAGCUAUGGGGCAGAGCUAUGGGGCAAGCUAUGGGGCAGAGCUAUGGGGCAAUCUAUGGGGCAGAGCUAUGGGGCAAUGUAUGAGACAACUUAUGGGGCAGAGCUAUGGGGCAAUCUAUGGGGAAGAGCUACAGGGCAGAGCUAUAGGGCAGAGCUAUGGGGCACUGCUACAGGGCAGUCUAUGGGGCAAUCUAUGGGGCAGAGCUAUACGUUAAUCUAUGAGACAACUUAUGGGGCAGAGCUAUGGGGCAGCCUAUGGGGCAGUCUAUGGGGCAAUCUAUGGGUUAGAGCUAUAGGGCAGAGCUAUGGGGCAAUCUAUGGGGCAGAGCUAUGAGAAAACUUAUGGGGCAGAGCUAUGGGGCACUCUAGGGGGCAAUAUCUAGGGCAGAGAUAAGGGGCAGAGCUAUGGGGCAAUCUAUGGGGCAGAGCUAUGAGGCAAUUCAUGGGGCUGUAUCUAUGGGGCAGAGCUAUAGGGCAAUAUAUGGGGUGGAGCUAUAGGGCUGUAUAGUUCCAUUGCACCACCCCAUCCAUGUCUGACCCCAUACGGACCCCACAGCUCCGCCCCAUUCAUGUCUGACCCCAUACAGACCCCACAGCUCCGCCCCAUUCCUGUCUGACCCCAUACGCAGCCCCACAGCUGCAGCGCCGCUCCCCGCGGCAGACUUUUAUAGAGAGGCGGUCGUGACGUCAUCACAGCACAGCCAAUGGGCGCGUUCCAGGAGAGUCUCACUGCUCUGCUAUUGGUGGAUCUUCACAAAGCCCCGCCCCCCCCGUCCGCCCGCAGAGCCAGCGCGCCGCCGUGGGCGGGCGGAGAGUGACGGGCGGACGGGGACAGCGGAGGACUGACGACGGACGACGGCCGGACGACGGCCGGACGCAGG
RNAcentral lists this long non-coding RNA (1137 nucleotides) under Phasianus colchicus (ring-necked pheasant). RNAcentral's name for it is "lncRNA (ENSPCLG00000020136.1)". The record is from RNAcentral. Lineage: Eukaryota; Metazoa; Chordata; Aves; Galliformes; Phasianidae.